CAUUUCCUUCUCCAGGGGAUCUUCCUGCCCAGGAAUGGAACCCACAUCUCCUGAAUUAGCAGCCACAGAGGAAAAAAAUCCCCUGCACACCUGGACUUGGACUUUCCCAUGUACAGGUUGGCCAAAGGUAUACCUAGGAGGAGAAGAUAUACUGUGAAAACAUCCACUGAUGCUGAAGAUUCAAUGAGGCAAGGUGCUUUAGACAAGCUGUCGGAAUCGUCCUUGGGCACAACAUACUUAGUGAUCAAUACGGCAGUCAAAAAACUAAAAGAAUGUUGCACAUUUGUCAGAGUAUUGUUACACUCUUGUUGUAGUGAAUCCAAUUCUGGAAAAUUUUCUUAUGUAAAUAAUUUUUAAUUAAAAUGCUAUAUUUUAUACACAAAGACA
Molecule: long non-coding RNA, 387 nt
Organism: Bubalus bubalis (water buffalo)
Lineage: Eukaryota; Metazoa; Chordata; Mammalia; Artiodactyla; Bovidae
Exons: 3
Source: RefSeq, a predicted model, not a curated record